GAUGAACGCUGGCGGCGUGCCUAAUACAUGCAAGUCGAGCGAACAGACGAGGAGCUUGCUCCUCUGAUGUUAGCGGCGGACGGGUGAGUAACACGUGGAUAACCUACCUAUAAGACUGGGAUAACUUCGGGAAACCGGAGCUAAUACCGGAUAAUAUUUUGAACCGCAUGGUUCAAUAGUGAAAGACGGUCUUGCUGUCACUUAUAGAUGUAUCCGCGCGGCAUUAGCUAGUUGGUAAGGUAACGGCUUACCAAGGCAACGAUGCAUAGCCGACCUGAGAGGGUGAUCGGCCACACUGGAACUGAGACACGGUCCAGACUACUACGGGAGGCAGCAGUAGGGAAUCUUCCGCAAUGGGCGAAAGCCAGACGGAGCAACGCAGCGUGAGUGAUGAAGGUAUUCGGAUCGUAAAACUCUGUUAUUAGGGAAGAACAUAUGUGUAAGUAACUGUGCACCUCUUGACGGUACCUAAUCAGAAAGCCACGGCUAACUACGUG
This 497-nucleotide ribosomal RNA is filed under the name uncultured bacterium. RNAcentral describes it as "partial 16S ribosomal RNA". It matches the Rfam family "Bacterial small subunit ribosomal RNA", at positions 28 to 507 of the family's 1533-position model. The record is from RNAcentral.